AUGGGAUCGCCCAACCAGAUGAAGGCUCCACCAAUCAACCAAGGAGGGCUCCGGGCGGCCGUGACCCUGUUGGAGUGUGGGGGGGACCUCCAGCCCCCCGGGGGGUCCCUGACUCUGCUCUGCCGCGGGUCUGGAUUCGAUUUUGGGAGUUUCACAAUGUUGUGGGUCCGCCAAAGACCCGGGAAGGCGCUGGAAUACAUCGCAGGGAUCAGCUACGGUGGCAGUACCAACUACGCGCCGUCAGUCAAGGGCCGGUUCUCGAUCUCCAGGGACAACGGGCAGAGCUCGGUGACGCUGACCAUGAACAACCUCAAGGACGAGGAUUCCGGCGUUUAUUUCUGUGCAAAACGUGACAGUGGUUAUUGGGGUGGUGAUGCUGCUGCUGGUUCCGUCCCCACCCCCAGUUUCUCUGACCCCCGCUGA
Molecule: non-coding RNA, 423 nt
Organism: Catharus ustulatus (Swainson's thrush)
Lineage: Eukaryota; Metazoa; Chordata; Aves; Passeriformes; Turdidae
Source: the annotation of a RefSeq genome assembly